GAUGAAGAACGCAGCGAAAUGCGAUACUUGGUGUGAAUUGCAGAAUCCCGUGAACCAUCGAGUCUUUGAACGCAAGUUGCGCCUCAAGCCAUUAGGUUGAGGGCACGUCUGCCUGGGCGUCACAUAUCGUUGCCUGAUGCCAGUUUCCUCGUGAUGGGUGACUGUGCAGGGCGAAUGAUGGCUUCCCGUGAGCAUUGUUGCCUCAUGGUUGGUUGAAAAUUGAGUCCUUGGUAGGGAGCGCCGUGAUAGAUGGUGGUUGAGUGACGAACGAGACCCAAUCAUGUCAGACCCCUACCGAAUUUGGCCUUCAUGACCCACAUGCGUCUUUGGAACGCUCAUGACGAGACCUCAGGUCAGGCGGGGCUACCCGCUGAGUUUAAGCAUAUCAAUAAGCGGAGGA
Molecule: unclassified non-coding RNA, 400 nt
Filed under: soil metagenome
Description: partial contains 5.8S ribosomal RNA, internal transcribed spacer 2, and large subunit ribosomal RNA
Rfam family: 5.8S ribosomal RNA (bases 1-122)
Source: RNAcentral